Desmophyllum pertusum is the source of this 81-nucleotide non-coding RNA. Lineage: Eukaryota; Metazoa; Cnidaria; Anthozoa; Scleractinia; Caryophylliidae. The record is from the annotation of a GenBank genome assembly.
UAUUGUAGUGUACAAUGUAGUGGUGAUCACAUGUGACUAGUACUCAGAGGGAUGUGGAUUCAAAUCCCGCUCAGGGCAUAA